AGUGCGCAUGUGUGAGCCCUCUCAUCCGACUCCUGAGAUCUUAUCAGGAAGCUGCUGAUCACCAGCUUCAGGUGUUUCUAUUUAUUGGGAGACUGUCUUUCCCUGGCACCAGCUGCAACCAAUGAUUACUUUAGAGAGACAGUUUAACAACUGCCUGACCAUCACCUGAUGGUCAUCUGACAUUCCCAGGACUCCAGAUAAGAGCCCAGGCCAAAGGACACCUUGAUUUUGACCUUGUCAGACCUGGAGUUGAAAAACCAGCUGCACCCUUCUAGAAUUCUUACUUACAAAACUCCUCGUGAGGCAGUCAACUUUGCUACUGGCAGCCAGGAGUCUCCUAGGAGCUUCAAUAGCUCAAUACAUCCAGAAAAACAGAGAAAGGGAGAAAGAGUGGCAGGGAGGAGAGGUUAGAGAGAGAGAGGGAAGUUUCUGAAUCAAAGAGCAGAGGGAGAUGUUACAAGACAAGAUGAUUUCACUGGAAGCUGAGUUUUGCCAGCUUUGGGGAAAUGCUGAUGCAGAACAUCAUUUAUUUAAGGCUGAUACUCAUGGAUAGAAGAGUCAAAGUGCGAAUAUAUGCACCCUUCUAUACGGAUUCUGCAGAAAGAUAUGCUUGGGUCAUGACUCAGGUGAAUUUCCUAUGAAACUUUGUCUUUGGUAAAGCAUCCCAUUCUUGGCUGUUCCAUAUAUAUAUAUAUGGUAAGUUUGGGAGUGGCCUUGCUAGUAAAGAAUAAAUUAUUUACUUGGUUCUAGCUAUUUACAAAGUUGCUGGUGACUAAUUGCUGGAAAGAAGCUGGGACGUUCUGUGGCCCCUCCAUUUUAUAUCCCCUCCCUUUGGUUCUCUAGGAAAUUGAGUUCAGGAAAGCUACCAGGAAUAAAACUCUUACUUUUUA
Long non-coding RNA from Homo sapiens (human), 890 nucleotides. Ensembl annotates it as long intergenic non-protein coding RNA 2263. The record is from Ensembl. NCBI's taxonomy places the organism in Eukaryota, Metazoa, Chordata, Mammalia, Primates, Hominidae.